Molecule: ribosomal RNA, 465 nt
Filed under: Vreelandella stevensii
Lineage: Bacteria; Pseudomonadati; Pseudomonadota; Gammaproteobacteria; Oceanospirillales; Halomonadaceae
Description: partial 16S ribosomal RNA
Rfam family: Bacterial small subunit ribosomal RNA
Source: RNAcentral
CCUACGGGGGGCUGCAGUGGGGAAUAUUGGACAAUGGGGGGAACCCUGAUCCAGCCAUGCCGCGUGUGUGAAGAAGGCCCUCGGGUUGUAAAGCACUUUCAGUGAGGAAGAACGCCUGGUGGUUAAUACCCAUCAGGAAAGACAUCACUCACAGAAGAAGCACCGACUAACUCCGUGCCAGCAGCCGCGGUAAUACGGAGGGUGCGAGCGUUAAUCGGAAUUACUGGGCGUAAAGCGCGCGUAGGUGGCUUGAUAAGCCGGUUGUGAAAGCCCCGGGCUCAACCUGGGAACGGCAUCCGGAACUGUCAAGCUAGAGUGCAGGAGAGGAAGGUAGAAUUCCCGGUGUAGCGGUGAAAUGCGUAGAGAUCGGGAGGAAUACCAGUGGCGAAGGCGGCCUUCUGGACUGACACUGACACUGAGGUGCGAAAGCGUGGGUAGCAAACAGGAUUAGAUACCCUAGUAGUC